RNAcentral lists this ribosomal RNA (759 nucleotides) under uncultured bacterium. Its description in RNAcentral is "bacterial SSU rRNA". It matches the Rfam family "Bacterial small subunit ribosomal RNA", at positions 89 to 844 of the family's 1533-position model. The record is from RNAcentral.
UGGAGACCGGGGGAUGGGUGAGUAACGCGUAUGCAACCUGCCUGGAGGACGGGGAUAACAUCGAGAAAUCGGUGCUAAUACCCGAUGAUGCAGCGGCCCCGCAUGGGGACAGUCGUUAAAGGUUUUCUAGCGCCUUCAGAUGGGCCUGCGUGUCAUUAGCUGGUUGGUGAGGUAACGGCUCACCAAGGCGAUGAUGACUAGGGGGUCUGAGAGGAUGAUCCCCCACACUGGGACUGAGACACGGCCCAGACUCCUACGGGAGGCAGCAGUGAGGAAUCUUGCGCAAUGGGGGCAACCCUGACGCAGCCACGCCGCGUGCCGGAAGUCGGCCCCAUGGGUUGUAAACGGCUUUUACCAGGGAAGAACCCGGGGGAUUCGUCCCCCGCUGACGGUACCUGGAGAAUAAGCACCGGCUAACUCCGUGCCAGCAGCCGCGGUAAUACGGAGGGUGCAAGCGUUGUCCGGAAUCAUUGGGUGUAAAGGGUGCAUAGGCGGAAGCCUAAGUCGGGGGUGAAAUCCUGCCGCUCAACGGCAGAAUGGCCUUCGAUACUGGGUUUCUUGAGUCCGGAAGAGGUUGGUGGAAUUCGUGGUGUAGCGGUGAAAUGCAUAGAUAUCACGAAGAACACCGGUGGCGAAGGCGGCCAACUGGCCCGGCACUGACGCUGAGGCACGAGGGCGUGGGGGAGCGAACAGGAUUAGAUACCCUGGUAGUCCACGCUGUAAACGAUGUAUGCUAGUUGUUGGCCCUUCGGGGUCAGU